RNAcentral lists this ribosomal RNA (570 nucleotides) under Curvularia sp. Curve3-4b. Its description in RNAcentral is "eukaryotic LSU rRNA". The stretch from base 188 to 341 matches the Rfam family "5.8S ribosomal RNA". Lineage: Eukaryota; Fungi; Ascomycota; Dothideomycetes; Pleosporales; Pleosporaceae. The record is from RNAcentral.
GGAUCAUUACACAAUAAACAUAUGAAGGCUGCACCGCCAACAGGCGGCAAGGCUGGAGUAUUUUAUUACCCUUGUCUUUUGCGCACUUGUUGUUUCCUGGGCGGGUUCGCCCGCCUCCAGGACCACAUGAUAAACCUUUUUUAUGCAGUUGCAAUCAGCGUCAGUACAACAAAUGUAAAUCAUUUACAACUUUCAACAACGGAUCUCUUGGUUCUGGCAUCGAUGAAGAACGCAGCGAAAUGCGAUACGUAGUGUGAAUUGCAGAAUUCAGUGAAUCAUCGAAUCUUUGAACGCACAUUGCGCCCUUUGGUAUUCCAAAGGGCAUGCCUGUUCGAGCGUCAUUUGUACCCUCAAGCUUUGCUUGGUGUUGGGCGUUUUUUGUCUUUGGUUUUGUCCAAAGACUCGCCUUAAAACGAUUGGCAGCCGGCCUACUGGUUUCGCAGCGCAGCACAUUUUUGCGCUUGCAAUCAGCAAAAGAGGACGGCACUCCAUCAAGACUCUAUAUCACUUUUGACCUCGGAUCAGGUAGGGAUACCCGCUGAACUUAAGCAUAUCAAUAAGGCGGAGGAA